RNAcentral lists this ribosomal RNA (529 nucleotides) under Gegeneophis seshachari. RNAcentral's name for it is "partial 16S ribosomal RNA". It matches the Rfam family "Bacterial large subunit ribosomal RNA", at positions 1816 to 2597 of the family's 2925-position model. The record is from RNAcentral. Lineage: Eukaryota; Metazoa; Chordata; Amphibia; Gymnophiona; Indotyphlidae.
CACCUCUAGCUAAUCCAACAUAUAUUAGAGGCACUGCCUGCCCAGUGAUUAAUUUCAACGGCCGCGGUAUUCUGACCGUGCAAAGGUAGCAUAAUCACUUGUCUUUUAAAUAAAGACUAGUAUGAAUGGCAACACGAAAGCUAAACUGUCUCCUUUAUCCAGUCAAUGAAACUGAUCUUCCUGUACAAAAGCAGGAAUACAUCAACAAGACGAGAAGACCCUAUGGAGCUUAAAACACAUAACCAUUCUCACCUUAUCUGUAAGAAAUUGGUAUAUUGUUUUUGGUUGGGGUGACCUCGGAGAAUAAUUUAACCUCCGAAAAAUACUAAGAUACACUCAUUUAAGUAUUAAAACUUUAAACCACUGACCCAAUUAACUUGAUCAACGAACCAAGUUACCCUAGGGAUAACAGCGCAAUCUUCUUCAAGAGCCCAUAUCGAUAAGAAGGUUUACGACCUCGAUGUUGGAUCAGGAUUACCAGACAGUGCAGCCGCCGUCAAAGGUUUGUUUGUUCAACAAUUAAAAUCCU